AAGAAAUCAGUUCAGCACUAAGUCACUUUGUCUUUAUGGCAAAUGUGAGAUGCAGUGUAUGGAAUGUUCAAUUUCUAGUAUGAAAAAUUAACGAUUUAAGUCCUUCUUAAAUGAGGCCAUUUACCCAUAGAGGGUGCCAGGCCCGUAUAACGUUAAUGAUUACUAGAGAACAUUUCCAAAGAGUCGUGUUGCUUGAUAGUGCAGCACUAAGUGGGUGGUAAACUCCAUCUAAAACUAAAUAUAACCAUGAGACCGAUAGUAAACAAGUACCGUGAGGGAAAGUUGAAAAGAACUCUGAAUAGAGAGUUAAAUAGUACGUGAAACUGCUUAGAGGUUAAGCCCGAUGAACCUGAAUAUCCAUAUGGAAAAUUCAACAUUAUGACUGCGGUAUGAAUAAUACUGUGGGAAUGGUGUGCAUUUUUUCCAUAAAAGGACAUUGUAAUCUAUUAAUAUUAUGAUUUAUCAUAAGAUCAUUGGCUUAAGUUUAUUCAAAUUAUUAUGCUUGCAUUUUAACAUAGAAUAAGUGCUGGUGAUUUGAUAAAGUGUUGAUAGAUUUAUUAUAUAUAGCGCUUGAAUAUUUUAUAUUCUAUAAUGGCAUGGUAAUCAUGAUUAUUGUGUUUAUUAUAUGCGUUUAUAUGAUUAACAAUGCGAAAGAUUCAGGAUACCUUCGGGACCCGUCUUGAAACACGGACCAAGGAGUCUAACAUAUUUGCAAGUUAUUGGGAAUUAAAAAACCUAAUAGCGUAAUUAACAUAACUAUUAUGGGAUUAGUUUUUAGUCUAGAAAUAGUCUAUUAAUUCAAUCCCGGGGCGUUCUAUCAGUUAUGCAUAAUAAUAUUUAUAUUAUUUAUGCCUCUAACCAGAGCGUACCUUGAGCAUAUAUGCUGUGACCCGAAAGAUGGUGAACUAUACUUGAUCAGGUUGAAGUCAGGGGAAACCCUGAUGGAAGACCGAAACAGUUCUGACGUGCAAAUCGAUUGUCAGAAUUGAGUAUAGGGGCGAAAGACCAAUCGAACCAUCUAGUAGCUGGUUCCCUCCGAAGUUUCCCUCAGGAUAGCUGGUGCAUUUAAAAAUUAUGUAAAAUAAUCUUAUCUGGUAAAGCGAAUGAUUAGAGGCCUUAGGGUCGAAACGACCUUAACCUAUUCUCAAACUUUAAAUGGGUAAGAACCUCACCUUUCUUGGUAUGAAGGUUGUGGUUGUGAUAUAAUGUGCCCAGUGGGCCACUUUUGGUAAGCAGAACUGGCGCUGUGGGAUGAACCAAACGUAAUGUUACGGUGCCCAAAUUAACAACUCAUGCAGAAACCAUGAAAGGCGUUGGUUGCUUAAAACAGCAGGACGGUGGACAUGGAAGUCGUAAUCCGCUAAGGAGUGUGUAACAACUCACCUGCCGAAGCAACUAGCCCUUAAAAUGGAUGGCGCUUAAGUUGUAUACCUAUACAUUACCGCUAAAGUAAAUGGUUUAUGUUCAAUUUCGGUUGGAUUAUAAACUUUGAAACUUUAGUGAGUAGGAGGUACAAUGGUGUGCAUGGAAGUGUUUGGCGUAAGCCUGCAUGGAGCCGCCAUUGGCACAGAUCUUGGUGGUAGUAGCAAAUAAUCGAAUGAGACCUUGGAGGACUGAAGUGGAGAAGGGUUUCGUGUGAACAGUGGUUGAUCACGAGUUAGUCGGUCCUAAGUUCAAGGCGAAAGCUGAAAAUUUUCAAGUUAUAAUAACACACACGCAUAUUUUCACAAUAUGAGAGAGUAAUUAAACACUUGAAUAAUUUUGAACGAAAGGGAAUACGGUUCCAAUUCCGUAACCUGUUGAGUAUCCGUUUGUUAUUAAAUAUGGGCCUUGCGCUCAUCCUGGCAACAGGAACGACCAUAAAGAAGCCGUCGAGAGAUAUCGGAAGAGUUUUCUUUUCUGUUUUAUAGUCGUACUACCAUGGAAGUCUUUCGAAGAGAGAUAUGGUAGAUGGACUAGAAGAGCAUGACAUUUACUGUUGUGUCGAUAUUUUCUCCUCGGACCUUGAAAAUUUAUGGUGGGGUCACGCAAACUUCUCAACAGGCCGUACCAAUAUCCGCAGCUGGUCUCCAAGGUGAAGAGUCUCUAGUC
Molecule: ribosomal RNA, 2091 nt
Filed under: Stomoxys calcitrans (stable fly)
Lineage: Eukaryota; Metazoa; Arthropoda; Insecta; Diptera; Muscidae
Description: eukaryotic LSU rRNA
Rfam family: Eukaryotic large subunit ribosomal RNA
Source: RNAcentral